AUUGAACGCUGGCGGCAGGCCUAACACAUGCAAGUCGAACGAGUGGCGGACGGGUGAGUAAUGUCUGGGAAACUGCCUGAUGGAGGGGGAUAACUACUGGAAACGGUAGCUAAUACCGCAUACCAUCAGAUGUGCCCAGAUGGGCUUAGCUAGUUGGUGGGGUACAGGGUCACCAAGGCGACGCUCCCUAGCUGUUCUGAGAGGAUGACCAGCCACACUGGAACUGAGACACGGUCCAGACUCCGACGGGAGGCAGCAGUGGGGAAUAUUGCACAAUGGGCGAAAGCCUGAUGCAGCCAUGCCGCGUGUAUGAAGAAGGCCUUCGGGUUGUAAAGUACUUUCAGCGGGGAGGCGUUACCCGCAGAAGAAGCACCGGCGAACGCCGUGCCAGCAGCCGCGGUAAUUC
This 406-nucleotide ribosomal RNA is filed under the name uncultured bacterium. RNAcentral describes it as "partial 16S ribosomal RNA". It matches the Rfam family "Bacterial small subunit ribosomal RNA", at positions 30 to 526 of the family's 1533-position model. The record is from RNAcentral.